Molecule: long non-coding RNA, 400 nt
Organism: Haliotis rufescens (red abalone)
Lineage: Eukaryota; Metazoa; Mollusca; Gastropoda; Lepetellida; Haliotidae
Exons: 3
Source: RefSeq, a predicted model, not a curated record
CAGGACACUACUCCGGCAUCCUCCAGGGUAACAUCAUCAUCGUCGUCGUCAGCGCCUUUUGCCAACAAUGGUGACCACACAAUCUGAGAGUAGGCAGGCAGCUGGGGCACGGCAUCGGGGGCGACUCCAGUGGAUGUUUCUGAAUCCGCGGAAUUGUUGAAACUCUGAGAGGAAAGCCGGAACUUACAAGAGGAUAUCAGGGAACUAAAAGAAGAAAACCGGCGUCUGAAAAGAAAUGUUGUCGCUGAUGACAUCGACGAUGGCAUCGUCAUCCGCCUCGGCAUCGCCAUCCGCCUCAGCAACGUCUUCCGCAUCCGCCUCCGCAUCCGCAUCCACACCCACAUCCACAUCCACAUCCACACCCACACCCACAACCGCACCUGCAUCACCGACCCAGACG